Molecule: non-coding RNA, 72 nt
Organism: Nematostella vectensis (starlet sea anemone)
Lineage: Eukaryota; Metazoa; Cnidaria; Anthozoa; Actiniaria; Edwardsiidae
Source: Rfam
GCGUUGUUGGUACAGUGGUUAGCAUAGCUGUCUUCCAAGCAGUUGACCCGGGUUCGAUUCCCGGCCAACGUA